Molecule: ribosomal RNA, 455 nt
Filed under: uncultured bacterium
Lineage: Bacteria
Description: SSU rRNA
Rfam family: Bacterial small subunit ribosomal RNA
Source: RNAcentral
AGGAUGAACGCUGGCGGCGUGCCUAAUACAUGCAAGUCGAGCGGUAAGGCCACUUCGGUGGUACACGAGCGGCGGACGGCUGAGUAACACGUAGGAACGUACCCCAAAGUGAGGCAUAAGCACCAGAAAUGGUGUCUAAUACCGCAUGUGCUCUAAGGAGUAAAGCUUCGGCGCUUUGGGAACGGCCUACGCAUGAUUAGCUUGUUGGUGAGGUAAUGGCUCACCAAGGCGACGAUCAUUAGCUGGUCUGAGAGGAUGAUCAGCCAGACUGGGACUGAGAACGGCCCAGACUCCUACGGGAGGCAGCAGUAGGGAAUUUUCCACAAUGGGCGAAAGCCUGAUGGAGCAACGCCGCGUGCAGGAUGAAGGCCUUAGGGUUGUAAACUGCUUUUAUGUGUGACGAAUAUGACGGUAGCAUAUGAAUAAGGAUCGGCUAACUCCGUGCCAGCAGCCGC